This 300-nucleotide ribosomal RNA is filed under the name uncultured Entomoplasma sp. RNAcentral describes it as "bacterial SSU rRNA". It matches the Rfam family "Bacterial small subunit ribosomal RNA", at positions 496 to 795 of the family's 1533-position model. Lineage: Bacteria; Bacillati; Mycoplasmatota; Mollicutes; Entomoplasmatales; Entomoplasmataceae. The record is from RNAcentral.
GGUUACUGUGGGCGAGGAGGCGAGGUAAUGCAGAGGGCCCGAGUGGUGUUUGGAGUUACGGGGCGUGAAGGGUUGUUAUGUGUGCGGUUAAGGAGGGUGUGUAAUCUCGGAGGUGAACUGCGAAAUGGCAUUGGAGACUACCUUGCUUGAGGGUUGGAGGGGGGACUGGAAUGCGUGGUGUAGCAGUGAACUGCGUAGAUAUCAAGUGGAACACCAGUGGCGAAGGCGAGUCCCUGGACAACUCCUGACACUGAGGCACGAAAGCUAGGGGAGCAAACAGGAUUAGAUACCCCUGUAGUC